RNAcentral lists this ribosomal RNA (457 nucleotides) under uncultured bacterium. Its description in RNAcentral is "bacterial SSU rRNA". It matches the Rfam family "Bacterial small subunit ribosomal RNA", at positions 340 to 786 of the family's 1533-position model. The record is from RNAcentral.
UACGGGAGGCAGCAGUGGGGAAUAUUGGACAAUGGGCGAAAGCCUGAUCCAGCCAUGCCGCGUGUGUGAAGAAGGUCUUCGGAUUGUAAAGCACUUUAAGUUGGGAGGAAGGCAGUCAGCGAAUACCUUGCUGUCUUGACGUUACCGACAGAAUAAGCACCGGCUAACUCUGUGCCAGCAGCCGCGGUAAUACAGAGGGUGCAAGCGUUAAUCGGAAUUACUGGGCGUAAAGCGCGCGUAGGUGGUUUGUUAAGUUGAAUGUGAAAUCCCUGGGCUCAACCUGGGAACUGCAUCCAAAACUGGCAAGCUAGAGUAGGGCAGAGGGUGGUGGAAUUUUCCUGUGUAGCGGUGAAAUGCGUAGAUAUAGGAAGGAACACCAGUGGCGAAGGGCGACCACCUGGGGCUCAUACUGACACUGAGGUGCGAAAGCGUGGGGAGCAAACAGGAUUAAGAUACC